UACAGAGGUCUCAAGCGUUGUUCGGAUUCAUUGGGCGUAAAGGGUGCGUAGGUGGCGCGGUAAGUCGGGUGUGAAAUCUCGGAGCUUAACUCCGAAAUUGCAUUCGAUACUGCCGUGCUCGAGGACUGGAGAGGAGACUGGAAUUCAUGGUGUAGCAGUGAAAUGCGUAGAGAUCAUGAGGAAGACCAGUGGCGAAGGCAGCUCGCUGGGACGGUACUGACGCUGAGACGCGAAAGCGUGGGGAGCAAACAGG
RNAcentral lists this ribosomal RNA (253 nucleotides) under uncultured bacterium. Its description in RNAcentral is "partial 16S ribosomal RNA". It matches the Rfam family "Bacterial small subunit ribosomal RNA", at positions 524 to 776 of the family's 1533-position model. The record is from RNAcentral.